AAAUGUUCUACCCAUUACAGAAGAGGGAGAGAAAAUACAGCACCUGUAACCAUUAAAUAUAAAA
Molecule: unclassified non-coding RNA, 64 nt
Filed under: Mus musculus (house mouse)
Lineage: Eukaryota; Metazoa; Chordata; Mammalia; Rodentia; Muridae
Description: partial derived from hnRNA or mRNA fragment, or novel small non-messenger RNA without known sequence-or structural motifs
Source: RNAcentral